AGACAUGACGUGGGAGAGCUGCCCGGUCUCCGCGAUCGCUCCUCGGACACCCUCCGAGCCUGUGACCCGGACCGCAGUGCAGCGCCGUAGGUGCAAUUCCCUCCCCGGGAAACUCUCAGGCCCAGUACCACCGAUUGCAG
RNAcentral lists this non-coding RNA (140 nucleotides) under Brevibacterium casei. RNAcentral describes it as "Glycine sequence". It matches the Rfam family "Glycine riboswitch aptamer". From Rfam's summary of the family: This family represents the bacterial glycine riboswitch. Glycine riboswitches usually consist of two metabolite-binding aptamers domains with similar structures in tandem. Lineage: Bacteria; Bacillati; Actinomycetota; Actinomycetes; Micrococcales; Brevibacteriaceae. The record is from RNAcentral. RNAcentral also lists the same sequence under 1 other name.